AUUGAACGCUGGCGGCAUGCUUUACACAUGCAAGUCGAACGGCAGCGCGGGCUUCGUCCUGGCGGCGAGUGGCGAACGGGUGAGUAAUACAUCGGAACGUGCCCAGUAGUGGGGGAUAGCUCGGCGAAAGCCGUAUUAAUACCGCAUACGACCUGAUGGUGAAAGCGGGGGAUCUUCGGACCUCGCGCUAUUGUAGCGGCCGAUGGCAGAUUAGCUAGUUGGUGGGUUAAAGGCCUACCAAGGCGACGAUCGGUAGCUGGUCUGAGAGGACGACCAGCCACACUGGGACUGAGCCACGGCCAAGACUCCUACGGGAGGCAGCAGUGGGGAAUUUUGGACAAUGGGCGAAAGCAUGAUCCAGCAAUGCCGCGUGUGAGAUGAAGGCCUUCGGGUUGUAAAGCACUUUUGGCGGGAACGAAAAGGACUGUGCCAAUACCACGGUUCGAUGACGGUACCCGCAGAAUAAGCACCGGCUAACUACGUG
RNAcentral lists this ribosomal RNA (484 nucleotides) under uncultured bacterium. RNAcentral describes it as "partial 16S ribosomal RNA". It matches the Rfam family "Bacterial small subunit ribosomal RNA", at positions 30 to 507 of the family's 1533-position model. The record is from RNAcentral.